Gastrolobium bilobum is the source of this 1011-nucleotide long non-coding RNA. RefSeq lists it as uncharacterized. The transcript has 6 exons. NCBI's taxonomy places the organism in Eukaryota, Viridiplantae, Streptophyta, Magnoliopsida, Fabales, Fabaceae. The record is from RefSeq and is a predicted model, not a curated record.
UCAUGAAUUUGUGGUUGAAAUUAGGUGAUUGAUUAAAGUUAAAACGCGUGUGGGACCCGCCUGUGACUUAAGUGAGUCAAACUCACCAUUUCUUCACACUUUCUCUCUCCUCCCCUCCUUCUUCUUCACGCUGGAACAGCCUCCCCCAUGCCCAUUUCUUCUUGAUUUUCUUUUCUUCACAAAUCACUCAUUUCUCCACCAAAUCCAACAAAAUUUGUGUUGAAAUUUGUUGGAAAAGACCUUCUAAACACAUUGGUACCACUCUUAAGCCUUGAAAUCGCCUCUUUGUGGAGCAUUUGGCAAAAAUCAGAUCCGAAAAUUUGAAGAAAAUUGGAUGUUCAUGGAGCUUUUGAUCUUCCAUUGCUUGGAGGAGUCUUGGGUUAGCUUCUAGCCUUUGUUGUGAGUUGCCGUACAUCGACUUGAAUCCCGAAUCUUGAUUCAGUGAGUUGCCAUUGGUCUUGGACCAAGUGGAUUGAGGCAUUCCGCUGUGUACCGAGUUGAGGGAUAAGCUGCUGCGGAGCUUGUGGAAACACGAAUUAAGGUUGCCGUACAUCGACUUGAAUCCCGAAUCUUGAUUCAGUGAGUUGCCAUUGGUCUUGGACCAAGUGGAUUGAGGCAUUCCGCUGUGUACCGAGUUGAGGGAUAAGCUGCUGCGGAGCUUGUGGAAACACGAAUUAAGGAGGUAGCAGUGGAGCAGGAGCCUCGGGCAAGAGGCCCGCAGAGUGAGCGCUGGAGCGCUUCAUAUUUUGCAUUUUGUUGGCCGUGUGGCCUAGGCUAGACUUAGGGCAUGAACAUGUCAUUUGUAUUUAUUAGUAGCUUCAUUAGCAUCUUGUUCAUGCCAUUUUGCCUAAGUCUAGUAGUGAUGUAUUUGGUUAUGUUGUCUUUUAAAUUAAGUUGAAAUUUUAGAAGAAUGUAAUUUGAAGUUUUAGUUUCAAGUUGUAAUUUGUAAAGCCAUAUUGUAAUAGUAUUGAUGCAUGUCUAACUAUGAUGGAAGGGCCUUAGGCUUAUCUU